CCUACGGGAGGCAGCAGUGAGGAAUAUUGGUCAAUGGGCGGAAGCCUGAACCAGCCAAGUAGCGUGCGGGAUGAAGGUACAGAGUAUCGUAAACCUCUUUUGUCAGGGAACAAAGGCGGGGACGUGUCCCCGGAUGAGUGUACCUGAAGAAAAAGCAUCGGCUAACUCCGUGCCAGCAGCCGCGGUAAUACGGAGGAUGCGAGCGUUAUCCGGAUUUAUUGGGUUUAAAGGGUGCGCAGGCGGUCUGUUAAGUCAGCGGUCAAAGCCCGGGGCUCAACCCCGGCCCGCCGUUGAAACUGGCAGUCUCGAGUUGGAGAGAAGUAUGCGGAAUGCGCGGUGUAGCGGUGAAAUGCAUAGAUAUCGCGCAGAACUCCGAUUGCGAAGGCAGCAUGCCGGCUCCACACUGACGCUGAGGCACGAAAGCGUGGGUAUCGAACAGGAUUAGAUACCCGAGUAGUC
This 459-nucleotide ribosomal RNA is filed under the name uncultured bacterium. Its description in RNAcentral is "partial 16S ribosomal RNA". It matches the Rfam family "Bacterial small subunit ribosomal RNA", at positions 338 to 795 of the family's 1533-position model. The record is from RNAcentral.